This 197-nucleotide ribosomal RNA is filed under the name uncultured bacterium. Its description in RNAcentral is "partial 16S ribosomal RNA". It matches the Rfam family "Bacterial small subunit ribosomal RNA", at positions 328 to 539 of the family's 1533-position model. The record is from RNAcentral.
ACGCUCGACACCUACGGGAGGCAGCAGUGGGGAAUAUUGCACAAUGGGGGAAACCCUGAUGCAGCGACGCCGCGUGAAGGAUGAAGUAUUUCGGUAUGUAAACUUCUAUCAGCAGGGAAGAAAGUGACGGUACCUGACUAAGAAGCCCCGGCUAACUACGUGCCACAGCCGCGGUAAUCUGAGCGGGCUGGCAAGGC